This 468-nucleotide ribosomal RNA is filed under the name uncultured bacterium. RNAcentral describes it as "partial 16S ribosomal RNA". It matches the Rfam family "Bacterial small subunit ribosomal RNA", at positions 28 to 507 of the family's 1533-position model. The record is from RNAcentral.
GACGAACGCUGGCGGCGUGCUUAACACAUGCAAGUCGAACGGAAAGGCCCUGCUUUUGUGGGGUGCUCGAGUGGCGAACGGGUGAGUAACACGUGAGUAAGCUGCCCUUGACUUUGGGAUAACUUCGGGAAACUGGGGCUAAUACCGGAUAGGAGCUCCUGCUGCAUGGUGGGGGUUGGAAAGUUUCGGCGGUUGGGGAUGGACUCGCGGCUUAUCAGCUUGUUGGUGGGGUAGUGGCUUACCAAGGCUUUGACGGGUAGCCGGCCUGAGAGGGUGACCGGCCACAUUGGGACUGAGAUACGGCCCAGACUCCUACGGGAGGCAGCAGUGGGGAAUAUUGCGCAAUGGGCGGAAGCCUGAUGCAGCAACGCCGCGUGCGGGAUGACGGCCUUCGGGUUGUAAACCGCUUUCGCCUGUGACGAAGCGUGAGUGACGGUAAUGGGUAAAGAAGCACCGGCUAACUACGUG